This is a long non-coding RNA of Oreochromis aureus, 1398 nucleotides long. RefSeq lists it as uncharacterized. The record is from RefSeq and is a predicted model, not a curated record. The transcript is spliced from 4 exons. NCBI's taxonomy places the organism in Eukaryota, Metazoa, Chordata, Actinopteri, Cichliformes, Cichlidae.
GAGAGACGGGGAAAGAGAGCCAGGGACAACAAUGCCACAUUAGAAAGAGACUCUUUGAAGGGCUCAUUCCAAGGUCUGUCAUGCUUUUGAGACUGUUAAAUCUACUGCUCCUGUGAUUGCUCCUGACCUCCUCACUCCUCCACCUGUUCCAGCUCCCAGGGGAGCUCGGGCCCAGCUUCCCCUGCACCCAUUGCAGUUCCUCAGUCAACUCCACGGAUCAUUACUCACCUGUUGCCUGCAGCUGUUCAUAGUCUGGACCGCUGGUCUGCUCGCAAAUACUUAUGCCACGUCAGUCUCUGCACGGACUCCAGUUUCAUUCUCACCUGCCUGCCUCUCGGCCAACUCCCUUGGAUUUCUGGAAUUGGAUCAUAUCAUAUCUUCACACUCACCCGGACCGACUACAUCUUUCCCUUCCCUCCCUGGUCACGCCUCCAACUGAAAACAAAGUUUCUGACCUCUGGCCUAUAACCCACCUAAUCAUGUCAGCCCUAUGAAUUACUUCCUGGAACCCUGUUGCAUAAUCAUGUCCACUCCACUCAAGUUCAUGUAACCUGUGUUCAUUAGCCACUGACCCCAGCUCUUGUUCAUGUUUAUGGUCUGUUCCGUUUAGCCUUAGUUUUACACAUUUGUAAAUAGUAUUGCCUCACAGUUGUAUAUAGUCCCCUCACUAAAUCCCCUGUAAAUAGCUUCCUGCUCAUCUUAUUAUUGGCUGUGUUCUCUCGUCACGGUAAAUACAUUAUUUCACUUCACGCUUCGAGUACCUGUGUGUUGAAUCUGUGCCUUGAGUGCACUCUGCCUGACGGCCUCCAGCCAUGACACCUAGGCAAUUCUGAAGAGAGGAAAGAAUAUCAAUAAAAGUUCCAAAGGGGGCUAACAAGAAAAUAUAUUACCAGGAAACAUGACCAUGAGAGAUAUACAUUGUUGAGUUAGAAUGGGCAGAUUCUCCAACCUUUAAUUUCUGAUUUGUCGGAUCUUGAACCUUUUCAUUUAAAUUUUACUGACUGAUGUACCUGGAGAGGUGUGAGACAUGUUUAUGUAUUGGAAUCACCUUUAUGCAAUGAGAUGACAGGAAAAGUGAUGUAACUACCAUCAUAGAAGGCAGCUGCAUCUAUAGGCGUUGGGAUCCCUGGCCACUGCUCCUCAGUCUAGUAUAAGCAGUUGCACACUGUUGAGAUCUCACAUAGAUGGGUAUUCCUGAUAAUAGGUGAAAGAGCAAGAUAUAUCAGAUAUAUCAGAUAUAUGAGAUCCUCUGGUGCAUCGACCUAACUGGGGGACUCUUCAACUGGCAGGGAGGUUGUUCCAUCCUUGCAGAAGUCCACUCUGCAGGUGGGGGAGAGACACAGGAGAGGUGGAGAAUAAACCUAACCUGGGUGUCUGUUGUCUUGUGUAGUCUGGAGA